AUUGAACGCUGGCGGCAUGCCUUACACAUGCAAGUCGAACGGCAGCACGGGUGCUUGCACCUGGUGGCGAGUGGCGAACGGGUGAGUAAUACAUCGGAACAUGUCCUGUAGUGGGGGAUAGCCCGGCGAAAGCCGGAUUAAUACCGCAUACGAUCUACGGCUGAAAGCGGGGGACCUUCGGGCCUCGCGCUAUCGGGUUGGCCGAUGGCUGAUUAGCUAGUUGGUGGGGUAAAGGCCUACCAAGGCGACGAUCAGUAGCUGGUCUGAGAGGACGACCAGCCACACUGGGACUGGGACACGGCCCAGACUCCUACGGGAGGCAGCAGUGGGGAAUUUUGGACAAUGGGCGAAAGCCUGAUCCAGCAAUGCCGCGUGUGUGAAGAAGGCCUUCGGGUUGUAAAGCACUUUUGUCCGGAAAGAAAUCCUUGGCCCUAAUACGGUCGGGGGAUGACGGUACCGGAAGAAUAAGCACCGGCUAACUACGUG
Molecule: ribosomal RNA, 486 nt
Filed under: uncultured bacterium
Lineage: Bacteria
Description: partial 16S ribosomal RNA
Rfam family: Bacterial small subunit ribosomal RNA
Source: RNAcentral